Molecule: ribosomal RNA, 486 nt
Filed under: uncultured bacterium
Lineage: Bacteria
Description: partial 16S ribosomal RNA
Rfam family: Bacterial small subunit ribosomal RNA
Source: RNAcentral
GAUGAACGCUGGCGGCGUGCCUAAUACAUGCAAGUCGAACGCUGGAGAUCUAGCUUGCUAGAUCGAAGGAGUGGCGAACGGGUGAGUAAUACAUAAGCAACCUACCCACGAAGACUGGGAUAAUCUCUGGAAGCGGGGACUAAUACCGGAUAGGUACUCGGAAGGCAUCUUCUGGUUAUUAAAGGUUAAAAACACUGGUGGAUGGGCUUAUGGCGCAUUAGUUAGUUGGUGAGGUAACGGCCCACCAAGACGAUGAUGCGUAGCCGGCCUGAGGGGGUGAACGGCCACAGGGGGACUGAGACACGGCCCAGACUCCUACGGGAGGCAGCAGUAGGGAAUUUUCGGCAAUGGGGGCAACCCUGACCGAGCAACGCCGCGUGAGUGAAGACGGCCUUCGGGUUGUAAAGCUCUGUUGUAAGGGAAGAACGGUAGAUAGAGAAUAUCUAAGUGACGGUACCUUACCAGAAAGCCACGGCUAACUACGUG